GGUUUUAAAAUUUGUGGAGAAUAAAAUCUUAUAUGGAGAGAGAUUCAUUUAUAAAAUUAUUUAUUUAUUUUAUUUUUUAUAAAUAUUAUUAAAUAUUAUUUUAUAAUAUUAUUAAAUAUUAUAAAUAAUAUUAUAUUCAAUAUUAUAUUUUAUAAUAUUUAAUAAUAUUAUAUUUUUAUUGGUCCAAAAAUAAAGAUGCAAAAUAUGCAAAAUUUAAAAAAACUUAGAUGCGUUGAGCAAUGCUUCUAUGCACCGAACAAAUCUCAACCAUUAAAAUUUUUUAAAUGGACGGUAACGAUAGACCUAUUAAAAGAGGGUGACUGGCACUUGGGGGUAUAGGUAUCGGUCACCACUUUAAUAAGGGUAAAAUUUUUUUUUUAUUACAUGGAGUUUGCAAUGAGGGCAUUUUGAUAAUUUUCCAUCCUCAUAAUAUGCCAUUUUUGUAAAUUUAAAAUAUUCCACCUUCCUUCAUUUUUAUCCUCCAACAUUUUAUCUUUGUAUUAUUACCUUUCCUAAAUUAAACCUCAUGUCUUUAAACCAUAGUUAGUUAAUUCGAAUACGAUAAAAAUUCGAUACGGAUAAAAUACGAAUAAAAUUCGUAUCUCAAUUUUUAAGUUCGUUGAAAAAUACGGUUUAAAAAUUAGAUUCGCCAAUAAUUCGUAUACGCGAUUUAUACGAAAAUUUUACGUUUAUCAUUUAAAAAUUCGGAAUAAAAAUUUGUUUAUUUAAUUAAAAUUUUUUUAGUUUUAUGCUAUUAUCAUGCAUAAAUAAUUAUAAUUCUUAUAAAAUAUAAAAAUAAAAUUGGAUAUAGGUCUAGCUACUAUACUAUUAUGAGUACGAUCGCCCUCGUACUCAUAAGUUGUUUUCGAUGAUAGGGCUUCCGAAUCGACGAUCCACAUCAUUAAACAUUAUUUACAGCAUUUAAAACUUUUAGAAAUCAAAUUUUAUAAAUUUUCGACAUUAUUUAUCUUACGAUCAAAAGGUCACAAAUUUGACAAUUUUUAACGGCCGAUAUGGAAUACUUGCUAGUUUAACGGUGUAAAAGAAUCGGAAUUUGUUGAAUUUUUGAUAGAAAAUUCUAUUCACUAUAUAGAUAAAGAUAAAUAACUCCGAUCUUGAAUUGAAGGAUCCGAUCAUUCUUUUUUAGGACGUCGUUCGAUUUUGACCGUUCAUUUUAUUCCCACUUAAUGGAUUUUAUUAUGAUUUCAAAAUUUUACGAAAUUUAUUUUCUAGAAGUUUUAAAUACUCUAGAUCAUAUUAAACGGAUUGGAUCGUCGAUUCGGAAGCUCCAUCAUUAAAAACAACUUAUGAGUACGAGAGCUUCAAUACUUAUAAUAGUAUAGUAGUCAUGACCUAUAAAAAUCUUACAAAAUAUGAUGAUAUGACAUUAAAAUUUUAUAUCAAAGUUAUUGAUCUUGUUUUAUAUGGUAUAAAGAAUUUUCUAUCAAAAUUUCAUGCGAUUUGGAUAUUUCUACACCGUUAAACUUGCAACCGGCUCACCACAGCUAUUAAAAUUAUUGAUUUUGAGCCCCUUCGAUCACUAGGCAAAUGAUAUCGAAAAAUCACAAAAUUUAUUUUCUAGGUACUUCAAAUACUCUAGAUCAACUUUAACGGAGCCGAUCGUCGAUUCGAAAGUCCGGACAUCGAAAAUAAAGUAGAAGCACGGAGGGCUCCAUGCUUCUAUAAGCAUACCAGCCACACAGACACAAAAAGGGGGAGUGGAGCGAAAAGUCCACCGUAGACC
RNAcentral lists this long non-coding RNA (1744 nucleotides) under Ananas comosus (pineapple). RNAcentral's name for it is "long non-coding RNA (ACOM_LNC009613)". The record is from RNAcentral. Lineage: Eukaryota; Viridiplantae; Streptophyta; Magnoliopsida; Poales; Bromeliaceae.